RNAcentral lists this long non-coding RNA (1616 nucleotides) under Mus pahari (shrew mouse). Its description in RNAcentral is "lncRNA (MGP_PahariEiJ_G0004364.1)". Lineage: Eukaryota; Metazoa; Chordata; Mammalia; Rodentia; Muridae. The record is from RNAcentral.
AUUCGGACUGCACAGUGGUGUGCAUUGCCGUGGAAAAUGAGCAGUUUUAAGAGAAGAGGACUCUCACCAAAGCUCUCUUCUUGACCGGGAACCCCGGGGCCACGGGAUGUGGAGUCCUUUUGUACAGCAGAUGCAGGGGGGUGUGGGAGGGAAGCUGAUGCUGCUCCCAGCCCCAUCCUGCGCUGGGUUGCUUCCAGACCCACUGCCCGCCUUACCCCUGCUUUGCUUAGAUCAUGGGUGGUACAGAGGAAGGGACAUGACACAGAAAAGGACUGUCGGAUGACCACACAACUUCCGUUGCCAGCUCGUCUGUUAUGUGGCUCCCAGGUGAGGGACAGAAGGGGAUGGAAGACAGAGGAAGGAGAAAGCAAGACUGUGUCUCCUCUCAUAUCUGGCAAUGUGUCUGGAAGACAUACAUGUCUUCUUCAUUGUCCUGACCCUAUGGCCAUCUUCUCCUCAUAGUCUAAACUACUGCCACAUGCUGUCCCCUUCCUGUGGCACCCACUUUACAAGUGAAGUCAAGAUGUUCAUGGAAGACGCCCUCUGCCUCGGGGCUUUGGUCCCUGGUGCAUGAACAGUCUGUGAUCCGAGGCAGCUAAGAGCUGAGACUCCCAGAAGCACCUGUAUCUCCGAAGGGCUAGCUCUCUCACUCCUCGGGAUACGCUGACCCAAGCCAUGCUCCCCAGUGGCUCUUGGGUACCCGUCCAGACCAUGGCUGAGCUUGGCAAUGCACCUUCACAUGGGCUUCCUGGCCACACCUGGAUCACUGUCCUCCAUUUGUGUCCCUGGCUUCACUUCUCUUUGAGCUGCUAUGCCCCAACCCUUGUCUCUUGGUCUCCUGGAAAGCCUGGAUCAAGACACCCAUGUAAGCUGCUCUCUGCAUUAACUGCAGUGUGGGCUGUGGAGGCUGGCCCCUCUUCCCUCAGACGGAAGACUCUUGGUGCUGCUCCCCUUCUGCAACACCUCUGUAAGGGCUGACAUAACACCUACCUUUGUACCCUCACCAACGUGUGCUGAUUUGCUUCAGCCAAACUUCCUGGCCAGAGGCAGAGAGAAGGUCAUUCAUUGCCUUUGUACCUCAUGAUCCUCUGUUCUCUGUCCAUGGGCAAUGGUGAUCUGAGCUGAGGAUCCCAGAAAAGAAAGGCAUUUCUAAGUUAAAGUGUCUACAAGGCUCAUUGAUUAGAACUCUGUGAUUGUGGGGAGUUGGAAUGUUACAGAUCCAGAGCCAAAUUAUCUUGGGAUAUUCUUAUUCCCAUUGCUAGCCGUUCGUUACCUCUGUGUCUGACUCGUGACUAUGACAGGAAAUAUUUUGGGAUAUAUUAACUUAACAUCUCACUAUCUUCCAUGAGCCCUAGAGCCAAGGAUGUCAUUAGAUAGUAUCUGAAACAUAGAUCAGAGAUUUCCCUGUUCUGCUGAAACCACCAACCUAGUGCGUCCUUCUACCAAUGUAUUUGGAACAAGCCUUAACUUAUGUCUCUUUUAUCCUGUAACAGCUAUAAAAACUUCACAAAACUAUUUCCCCAUUGGAGCCUGGCAUUUGUGGUACCCUGAAUCUAUGUUCUUGGGCUACAGUCACUCAUAUCUGGCUCCAUAAUAAACUUUCUUAUUCCCUCUGU